Long non-coding RNA from Homo sapiens (human), 3066 nucleotides. RefSeq lists it as uncharacterized. The transcript is spliced from 2 exons. NCBI's taxonomy places the organism in Eukaryota, Metazoa, Chordata, Mammalia, Primates, Hominidae. The record is from RefSeq and is a predicted model, not a curated record.
GUAGCUGGGACUACAGGCGACCCCCCACCGCACCAGGCUAAUUUUUUUGUAUUUUUUUCUUAGUAGAGACAGGGUUUCACCAUGUUAGCCAGGAUGGUCUCGAUCUCCUGACCUCGUUUUUUAAUAAAUAAUCUAGGUAAAGUAUAAAAUUCAAUCAGGUAAAUGUAAUGGAAUAAAUGCUUGUAAACUAACUUGUCCUAGUUUAGGAUCUAAGGUUAUUAAUUGACAUUAAGUAUCUGGGCAAUUUCCAAUUUAAGAAUUAUAGAAAAACAUUUUUUAAUGUUCCUAAUGGUAAAAUAUUGUUAAAAACAGUGUUUUUAGGCAGAUAGGAAAAGGGGUUUGGAAAGUUUUUGUUUCAUUUAAAGUAGCUCCAGAAAUGUUUCUUGUCUAUCAGGAAAGCCCUGGCUCUUAGAGCCAGGCCAGCAAGCUUUGAUAUGCAAAUUCAAGUCAUUAGAAACUGGGUCCACCCGAACAUAGCUAUUCCCGCUGUCUUUUCCUUGUUCACACAUGUGCCUGGCAACAUGGCCACCCCCACAUAUCCCCAUGUGUGUAGAACAUCACAGCGCCCUGUAUUUGCAUAUUAAAAGGCUAAGGUGAGAGGGCCAGUUUUUUCACGGGCUACAUGAAUGACAUGCCUGAUCAAACCAAUCCCCUGAGCCCUAUGCAAAUCAAACACUACCUCCUCCAGCCUCCACAUAUAAGCAGCCACUUUUCCACCCCACACAGGUUUUUCUCUCUAUUCGAAUCCACCCUCCCUUUGUUUCUGUACAGGGGAGCUGUUUUCUUCUUCCGUCCUUUCUUGCCUAUUAAACUUUUUGCUCCUUAAAACCAUUCCACGUGUGUCUGUGCCCUUUUAUCCAAACUGGUGCAAGACCAAGAACCCAGGUGUUCCUCUACUCGUUGGAGCUGUAUCAAUAUCUUUGUCUAAUUCAAAGCUUAUUUAAGUGUUAUAUAUGAAACAAGGUAAAAUAAAUCAGUAAAUAAGAGAGAUAUAAAGAAAGUUAUAAAAAUAAAGAGGUAUUUUUGGUAAAAAAAAAAAAAACAAAAGGCUUAAAGAAAAGUAAUUUUAUAUAAGAAAGAAUCUUGUGUGGUAAAUUUUUGUCCUAAGAUUAAAAAAAUGACAGAGUUAUACAAAAAGAAGGGAUAUUUUAAACAAAACAGUAUAAACAUGUUGUGAAUGAACUAUGUAAGUCAUAGUAAGGUCAGUAAGAAGGAAUUUUUAAGAGGGAUUGCAUAACUCAGUUGGCUAUGAUUAAGAAGAUAUUAUAAUAGUCUUUCUAGAAAUGGGUCUUUGAUAUUAAAAAUACACAAAUACUAAACUAAAAAAUUAGUUAAAACAAGAUUUUUAUUACAAAUAUUUAACUUUUAAUGCAAAAUUUUUAAAUUUUUGUAUUCUAUAAUCUGUUUUAUUUAACAUUCUUCAGAUUGAUAUCUUCAGAUUGAUAUCGAAAAGGCCUUGAAUGAUGGCUCUCUCCUUCAUAUUUUGUUGCCUCCUGUAACUUUUACUAAUUAUCUAAAGUAGGUGAGAAAAUGUUUGAAAACAGGCAAAUAAAAUACCUUUUGGACCUGUCUUUUUUUCUACAUGCCUGUUAUAUCUCUAUCUUUAUAUGUGUUAUGUAGAAAUGAUAUUUUAUUAAAAAACUACAUGAAAAACUAUUAAUUAGCUUAAUAAAUGUAAAUGCUUAUCAAAUUGGCAAACACUAGCUCAGAUGUCUUUUAAUUCACAUGACCUUGGUAAUCUUUGGUAAAAAUAAAUUUGGUAAAUUUAAUCUCAAAACUCUCUCCAGUAAUUUAAUACCUUAAAGUCAUGUUAAAACCUCAGUUCCGUGACCCCCUCCAAUGGAAAUUUGGGUAACUAAAAGUUAAAAUAAUAGGAGCAUAAAGUACACUUUGGGUAAAAUUUUAUAAAACACAUGGAUGUCAAUUUUCAAAAAAAAAAUGUAAGGGUUUUGGUUAAGGAACUAUUUAAGAGUUGCUUUAUAAUGAAGGAAAUUAUACAGAUAAAACUAAAUGAAAAAAAAAGAAAUCUAGGGCAAAAAAACUCUGAGCCCUAUGGUUACCAAGAAAAUAGUUGAUAUGGGGGAAUGGCAAAAUCAAGUAACUAUUUAAAACCAAAGGGUGUAAUGUAAAGGAAUUGUUCCAUUUUGUAAAUUGGUUUCAUUCAGCUUUGAAAAACAAUAACUACAACAACACCCAAAAAUCAGAAAAAACCUUUACUAUAGUGGAUUUUGGAUUGUAAAAAUAACCACUUUAAGGGCAAAAUUCUUAAUUUUAAAUGCUAUAGAAUUUAGAGCUUGUUUGGAUUAAUGCAGGACCCACAGCUCAUUCAUGAACAAUGACUGAGUAUAUGUGAUCCAAAUGCACAGGGUGUUAUCCUGAGAAAGCAAUCAGCCUUGUGGGCCAGAUAAAUCCAUUAUAAGAUCUGUCUUUCCCAGAGAAGGGGACUGCCCAACCCUCCCUAUAAAAUACCAAGUGAAGUGCCCCAGAUGAAGCAGUUGAUAUGUUUCAUAUGCAAGCCAUGUUGGACUAGGCUUUAUGAUAACUGGAAUAUCUUCCCAACAAAUAUGUCUAUUACCCAGGACAUGGUAAAUUUGGGGAUUAAGAGGGCCCUUUUACAUGGGUGCCCAUCCCACAGAAUCACAGGUCUGUGUAAGAAGACUUAUCUAAUCUGCUUUCCUUCAUAGGUCUUACAGAUGCAACUCCCUGCUGGGAACCCAAACCCGUUUCACCAGAAAAGUGAAAGCAUAAGGAAGGAAAUGGGCAUCUGCAAAGAAUCCAAGCAAGAGAAGGAGCAACCGGCUUGUGAACUCACUCCCUUAAGACAGCAUUAAUGUAUUCAAGGGGAUCUGCCCUGUGAUCCAAACACCGCCUACUAGGUCUCACUUCCCAACACUGCCACAUUGGGAAUCAAAUUUCAACAUGCGUUUUGUCAGCGACAAAUCACUUCCAAGCCAUAGCAACCACGUACCCACAAAUAAGAGUCGUAAUCUAUUAGGGUUUUUCUUAAGUUGAUCAUUUUUUCUGUAUAUAAAGUGACACAUUUCAGAAUAAAUUAGUAUGAUUUAA